UACGUAGGGGGCAAGCGUUGUCCGGAUUCAUUGGGCGUAAAGAGCGUGUAGGCGGCCAGGUAGGUCGGUUGUGAAAACUGGAGGCUCAACCUUCAGAGGUCGACCGAAACCAUCUGGCUAGAGUCCGGGAGAGGAGAGUGGAAUUCCUGGUGUAGCGGUGAAAUGCGCAGAUAUCGGGAGGAACACCAGUGGCGAAGGCGGCGAUCUGGGUUGAUACUGACGCUGAGGUGCGAAAGCGUGGGGAGCAAACAGG
This 253-nucleotide ribosomal RNA is filed under the name uncultured bacterium. Its description in RNAcentral is "partial 16S ribosomal RNA". It matches the Rfam family "Bacterial small subunit ribosomal RNA", at positions 524 to 776 of the family's 1533-position model. The record is from RNAcentral.